This 283-nucleotide RNase P RNA is filed under the name Shuttleworthella sp. MSX8B. RNAcentral's name for it is "Shuttleworthia sp. MSX8B Bacterial RNase P class A". It matches the Rfam family "Bacterial RNase P class A", at positions 43 to 351 of the family's 367-position model. From Rfam's summary of the family: Ribonuclease P (RNase P) is a ubiquitous endoribonuclease, found in archaea, bacteria and eukarya as well as chloroplasts and mitochondria. Its best characterised activity is the generation of mature 5'-ends of tRNAs by cleaving the 5'-leader elements of precursor-tRNAs. The record is from RNAcentral. Lineage: Bacteria; Bacillati; Bacillota; Clostridia; Lachnospirales; Lachnospiraceae.
GAGGAAAGUCCGGGCUUCACAGGGCAGGAUGCCGGCUAACAGCCGGUGGAGGCGACUCCCAGGAAAGUGCAACAGAAAUAUACCGCCGGGGGAACCCGGUAAGGGUGGAAAGGCAGUGUAAGAGACUACCGUGCGGCUGGUAACAGGCGCAGCCAUGUAAACCCCAUCCGAAGCAAGACCGAGCAGGAGCGAUGACGCGGCCCGCCAGCUCCGGGUUGGUUGCUCGAGGCGGCUGGUAACAGCCGUCCUAGAUAGAUGAUCACACCAGACAUAACCCGGCUUA